Long non-coding RNA from Carcharodon carcharias (great white shark), 1139 nucleotides. RefSeq lists it as uncharacterized. NCBI's taxonomy places the organism in Eukaryota, Metazoa, Chordata, Chondrichthyes, Lamniformes, Lamnidae. The record is from RefSeq and is a predicted model, not a curated record. The transcript has 6 exons.
AAUCACGGCGAAACACCGGAAAUCACCAUAAAUCACUGGGCCUCCACCAGAAAUCAUCAAAAAUCACCGUGCCCCACUGCAAGUCACCAUUACGCCCUGGAAGUUACCAAAUCCCAACAAAAAUCACUGAGCCUUAGCCAAAAACCACCAGAAAUCACCAAACCCCACUAGAAAUCACAAAGCACCUGUCUGAAUUCAUCAAGCCCCAUUUUAAAUCACCAAUCACCCACCGGAAGUUACCAAGGCCCCACCGGAAAUCACCGAACCUGGCCUAAAAUUACUGAACCUAGCCCGAAAUCACCGAGCCCUGCCAGAAAUCACCCCCAAGCCUCACUGGCAAUCACCGAAUCCCACCAGAAAUCUCUCAGCCCUGUCUGAAAUCAUCGAGCCCUGCUGGAUAUCACCAAGCCCUUGCCAGAAAUCAUAUAACCCUGCCAGAAAUUACCACACUUUACCGGAAAUCCAACACUGGGAAUUGUGAUGGCCCUGCUGGUGAGGGGCUCAGGGCAGGGAACGUGGGAGCAGGAGUAGUCCAUUCAGCCCCUCAAGCCGCUCUGCCAAUCAACUAGAUCAUGUCUAAUCUACCUCAACGCCAUUUUCCGAAUAUCAAGAACUAGAGGGCAAAGAUUCAGAACAAUUGGCAAAAGGAGUAAAUGUGAUCACGUUGAGGUUGUCAAUACCAGUUUAUUCCAUUUGCUCUGCUGUAUGACAGACAACGUGCUACAAGGACACAAUCUGCUCCUCAAGUGUUGACCUAAUCCAGUGCUGCCAUUCCCAUGCUGAGCUGUGAACACCCUAAUCUCAGUGAACUUCUUGGAACACCUUUUUGAGGCAGAAACGAGAAUUGUGUACAGAGGAUUCUUCAGGGACACCAGCUUCCAAGGGAACGUUAUCAGGUGCUUCAUAUGACUCAAAACAUCAUUAUGUAAUGAAAUGCCCAAUGCUUAACAGCAGUGUUUUUGAAGUGACACAUGACACAGAAUUUGGAAGUUGGAGAUGAUGACAGUUUGAGUAAACUGUGCUAGUUACAAGAAGCUUGAGUCCAUUAAUGAGCGUAAUAUUUGGGGAUUCAUUCAAAUGUGCCAGAUUGGAUCUUGGCUUCAGCUCGACCUUGUGUGGGAAGGAAGAAGAGAAUCUAC